Triticum aestivum (bread wheat) is the source of this 184-nucleotide long non-coding RNA. RefSeq lists it as uncharacterized. The record is from RefSeq and is a predicted model, not a curated record. The transcript is spliced from 3 exons. Lineage: Eukaryota; Viridiplantae; Streptophyta; Magnoliopsida; Poales; Poaceae.
AGGUUCCGUAAAAUGGCAGCGGGUAGAGUUCUUGUCCUGCACAAAGGAAGGGAUAAUUCCAUCAGUACAUGCUUGAGGAACACUAUGUUUGACCACCAAGAUAGGUAUAUGCCUCGCUAGCACACAAGAACAGUCAGGACCAUGUACGAAUCGGACCAACAGUUGGGGCUAUGUCACACCACCA